Molecule: ribosomal RNA, 241 nt
Filed under: Salmonella enterica
Lineage: Bacteria; Pseudomonadati; Pseudomonadota; Gammaproteobacteria; Enterobacterales; Enterobacteriaceae
Description: partial 23S ribosomal RNA
Rfam family: Bacterial large subunit ribosomal RNA
Source: RNAcentral
UGCUGGAGGUAUCAGAAGUGCGAAUGCUGACAUAAGUAACGAUAAAGCGGGUGAAAAGCCCGCUCGCCGGAAGACCAAGGGUUCCUGUCCAACGUUAAUCGGGGCAGGGUGAGUCGACCCCUAAGGCGAGGCCGAAAGGCGUAGUCGAUGGGAAACGGGUUAAUAUUCCCGUACUUGGUGUUACUGCGAAGGGGGGACGGAGAAGGCUAUGUUGGCCGGGCGACGGUUGUCCCGGUUUAAG